ACAUGCAAGUCGAGCGAAUCAAUGGGAGCUUGCUCCCGUUGGUUAGCGGCGGACGGGUGAGUAACACGUGGGCAACCUGCCUGUAAGACUGGGAUAACUUCGGGAAACCGGAGCUAAUACCGGAUAAUUCUUUCCCUCUCAUGAGGGAAAGCUGAAAGUCGGUUUCGGCUGACACUUACAGAUGGGCCCGCGGCGCAUUAGCUAGUUGGUGAGGUAACGGCUCACCAAGGCAACGAUGCGUAGCCGACCUGAGAGGGUGAUCGGCCACACUGGGACUGAAACACGGCCCAGACUCCUACGGGAGGCAGCAGUAGGGAAUCUUCCACAAUGGACGAAAGUCUGAUGGAGCAACGCCGCGUGAGCGAUGAAGGCCUUCGGGUCGUAAAGCUCUGUUGUUAGGGAAGAACAAGUAUCGGAAUAACUGCCGGUACCUUGACGGUACCUAACCAGAAAGCCACGGCUAACUACGUGCCAGCAGCCGCGGUAAUACGUAGGUGGCAAGCGUUGUCCGGAAUUAUUGGGCGUAAAGCGCGCGCAGGCGGUCCUUUAAGUCUGAUGUGAAAGCCCACGGCUCAACCGUGGAGGGUCAUUGGAAACUGGGGGACUUGAGUGCAGAAGAAGAAAGCGGAAUUCCACGUGUAGCGGUGAAAUGCGUAGAGAUGUGGAGGAACACCAGUGGCGAAGGCGGCUUUCUGGUCUGUAACUGACGCUGAAGCGCGAAAGCGUGGGGAGCAAACAGGAUUAGAUACCCUGGUAGUCCACGCCGUAAACGAUGAGUGCUAAGUGUUAGGGGGUUUCCGCCCCCUUAGUGCUGCAGCUAACGCAUUAAGCACUCCCGCCCUGGGGAGUACGGCCGCAAGGCUGAAACUCAAAGGGAAUUGACGGGGGCCCGCACAAGCGGGGAGCAUGGGGGUUUAAUUCGAAGC
This 926-nucleotide ribosomal RNA is filed under the name Neobacillus drentensis. RNAcentral's name for it is "bacterial SSU rRNA". It matches the Rfam family "Bacterial small subunit ribosomal RNA", at positions 53 to 957 of the family's 1533-position model. The record is from RNAcentral. Lineage: Bacteria; Bacillati; Bacillota; Bacilli; Caryophanales; Bacillaceae.